AUUGAACGCUGGCGGCAGGCCUAACACAUGCAAGUCGCACGAGUGGCGGACGGGUGAGUAAUGUCUGGGAAACUGCCUGAUGGAGGGGGAUAACUACUGGAAACGGUAGCUAAUACCGCAUACCAUCAGAUGUGCCCAGAUGGGAUUAGCUUGUUGGUGGGGUAACGGCUCACCAAGGCGACGAUCCCUAGCUGGUCUGAGAGGAGGACCAGCCAAACGGGAACUGAGACACGGUCCAGACCCCUACGGGAUGCAGCAGGGGUGAAUAGUGCAGAAGGGGCGCAAGCCUGAUGCAGCCAGGCCGCGUGUAUGAAGAAGGCCUUCGGGUUUUAAAGUACUUUCAGCGGGGAGGCGUUACCCGCAGAAGAAGCACCGGCGAACUCCGUGCCAGCAGCCGCGGGAGUC
This 405-nucleotide ribosomal RNA is filed under the name uncultured bacterium. Its description in RNAcentral is "partial 16S ribosomal RNA". It matches the Rfam family "Bacterial small subunit ribosomal RNA", at positions 29 to 525 of the family's 1533-position model. The record is from RNAcentral.